UCGAAACCUGCAUAGCAGACCAGCGAACGUGUGUUUUUACCUAAAGGGUGUUGGAGCUCGGUCAGGAGCAAUCCUGUUCGAGCACCACCCCUNUGCUCGGCCGACGCUUGCGUCGUUCGGGCUAACGAACCCCGGCGCGGAAUGCGCCAAGGAAAACCAAUAAAGAUGUGCUGCGCCCCCGUURGCCCCGUUCGCGGGUGCUACUCGGGGACAACGCGGCCUCUCUUGAAAGUCAUAACGACUCUCGGCAACGGAUAUCUCGGCUCUCGCAUCGAUGAAGAACGUAGCGAAAUGCGAUACUUGGUGUGAAUUGCAGAAUCCCGUGAACCAUCGAGUCUUUGAACGCAAGUUGCGCCCGAAGCCAUUAGGCCGAGGGCACGUCUGCCUGGGCGUCACGCAUCGCGUCGCCCCCCUCCCAACCCUUAGGGCCACGGAGAGGGGUCGGAAAAUGGCAUCCCGUGCGCUUAGCCGCGCGGCCUGCCCAAAUGCGAUCCCGCAUCGACGGAUGUCACGACAAGUGGUGGUUGAACUCUCAAUUUUCUAAUUCGUCGUGCCUAUCACCGUCGAUUGCAAGGGCAUCAAUUUGACCCAACGGCGCCUUCACGGUGCCUUCGAC
RNAcentral lists this ribosomal RNA (616 nucleotides) under Linaria spartea. RNAcentral's name for it is "eukaryotic LSU rRNA". The stretch from base 240 to 395 matches the Rfam family "5.8S ribosomal RNA". The record is from RNAcentral. Lineage: Eukaryota; Viridiplantae; Streptophyta; Magnoliopsida; Lamiales; Plantaginaceae.